Molecule: long non-coding RNA, 1763 nt
Organism: Microplitis mediator
Lineage: Eukaryota; Metazoa; Arthropoda; Insecta; Hymenoptera; Braconidae
Exons: 7
Source: RefSeq, a predicted model, not a curated record
UAUGGAGCCUAUACCUACGUGCCACGUGUAUAGGCUCCAUAGUCAGCUGUGCGAGCUAACUUUUUAGAAAUUGUAAUAUCUGUUAAUGUACGUUUUAGAAAUAAUGACCACAGCAAGUGCAGGUCACCGAUAAAAAUAAGAUGCACGUUGCAGUGAUGGCAGUUUAGAGGUGACAACGAGAACACUCUCCCUUCGUCUUGCACCAUCGGAGUUUUUCUCUCGCGAGUGAUGUAUUUGAAGAAUGGAGUAGACUUUUUAAAUGCCACGGAAAGAAAUAAACAUAAUUGUUGCCGUUUACACGAUAUGUACAAUCAACUGUCAAUUCAUUCAUCGCAAUCCUGGCAUUCUUAUUAAUUAAAGCUUAACAAUCGACGAAAAAUGAGUUCGCUUACUUGUUAUAAAUACUACCUGAUAUGACGGAUUAUAAGGAGACCGUCGAUGAGGCCGGUGACAAAGACAACGGCAGUUUUGUACGAGUCUAAACCAAUUAACGACGCUUAGCUUUAGUCCAACAGUUUUUUAAUGGGUUAACGACUUUCUAGUCAUGAUGAGCUUAUACGGUGCUCGUCAAUGUAUCAUGGGAAGAAGAAUUCUAACAAUUUGCAAUAAAUCAAGAGAAAAUACUUAAAAAAUGGCUGUCAGCAGGCUGGAUCGCAAAUUAUCACACGAACGUUGUCUACUAGACGAGGAAAAAUGUAGAGGACAAAUCGCUGAGGAGCAACGUAACUCUUUACAGCACAGGUCAUUGAGCGCAAGUUCAAGAAAAAUUCUAAGCAUGACUGUUACGACAAUAUUUAAAAAAGAAGUUUUUCAAGAAGAGAGGAGUUCCCAAUUUAUCCUAAUGUGUCAGUAAAUUAACUGAGAAUAAAAUUGUUACUGACAUACCCGAAACCAAAGCGUCUGAAAAAUUACAAACCAUCGUCAUGAAUAAUUGGACUGAGAUAGAAGAUUUUACUUUGGUAACUUUGCGUCUGUGGCGACAUGGAGUCAACCAAAAAUUUAAUCGUUUGCGAGGUGACGGGGAUGAUUCAAUUUGGGAAUCUAUUAGCCGAGCCAGCGUUUUUACUCUACGAAACAAGACGGCUGCCAUGUGUAAAGAACGGUUUCAAAUUAUACUAGAAAAUUAUUUAAUGUAUUUUAAUAUGUCUGACCGGCAGCAAGAAAUGGUUAGCCGUCCUCCUUAUUCCGACGAUUUUGAUCAAUUUAUCAUGCAUUUCUGCAAUAACGCACAGGAGUAAUCUGCACCCAUUCACAAGUAACGUCACUUCUGGUUCACUAAAUGUAUCUGGUGAGCAUCUGAAUAACUCAGGUACCACUUCAAGAGUCACUACAUCGACCCCAUCGUCUGUGUUUAUACUUGUUAAUAGUAUAUUACACAUCGAGGGAAGUAAAGUAAGAAAUGUCUCAGAUCACAUGUAAUUGUUGGCCGAGGCGAAGCCGAGGUCAACAAACAUGUGAUCUGAGGCUUUCUUAUUUACUUUCCGAGGAGUGUAUGCUAUUUUUCUCCUCGACGGAGGCGGAAAGCGGCAACUUCGUUUUGCACAGCGGGACGAAAGUUGACGCUUUCCGCCCGUCGAGGAGAAAAAAAUUUGUGUGUUUCAUGUUUAUGCGCUGUAUUAUUCAUUUUUAUGAUUUUGCAAUAAAAUAUUAAGAAUUUAAAAACUAAGACAUUUAAAUAUAAUUAUAUAUUAAUAUAAAUUUAAUACAUGAAGAUGAUUUUAAAUGAAGCAAUUGGUGCGAUGAUGGUAAUUAUUAUAAUUAUU